UGACGUUUCUCGCGUUCCUAAGUUCAGUUAGUAAAUAACAUCAGGAAGCACAGGAAAUUAAUUGUUAGAGCAAGCUGGGAUAUAUUACUUAGCGGCCUUGUCCCUUUCAGACAUGGGUUUGCGGCCGUGUGUUCCCUUCUUCUGGCCGGUCGAUCCAGUAGCAAGCUUAGGCUAGCCAGCCUCGUUUGGUGCAUCCUCCAUGAAUCAAUCUAGGUGCUUAAAUCCUUGUACUUGUGUCCCACCGGAAGAAAAUAGUUGAAGGUUGUGUACGUGCAUCUUUACCUGGACCAACCUAAAUGGUACUGUAGCAAUUACUUGCGUUUUGCAGAAACGUGUCAAACAAUACAAACUGCACAAAAAUCUCUUCAAUUGAAUCAACAAUAUCCACUGAAAAGCAAAUAAAUUAAGAGCCAGUACAAAAACUGCAAUGCUAGUACGUUACCCUGAUCAAUCCUUUCUUAUUACCGUGCUUUUUAUGCUUCCGCAGCCACAUGUAAGCUAUAUUGACAAUCAUCACUCAUCGGCAUGAACUAGCACUUCUCUGAUAGACUUAAUCACGUUGCUGCUCUUAGGAAGUGUAGCAAUAAGAUCAUCAUGCGCCGCUGCGUCCUCUAGUUGGUGUCAGCGACGGCCAGCCAACCCGUGACCAUUACCAGAUAGAUCAAUUGGAGGAACGGAAGUAUCACAGACGAUAUUCGUCAACCUGUCCAUCUGCACGACCUAGUAUU
RNAcentral lists this long non-coding RNA (728 nucleotides) under Triticum aestivum (bread wheat). Its description in RNAcentral is "long non-coding RNA (TAES_LNC018225)". The record is from RNAcentral. Lineage: Eukaryota; Viridiplantae; Streptophyta; Magnoliopsida; Poales; Poaceae.